This 433-nucleotide ribosomal RNA is filed under the name uncultured bacterium. RNAcentral describes it as "partial 16S ribosomal RNA". It matches the Rfam family "Bacterial small subunit ribosomal RNA", at positions 29 to 507 of the family's 1533-position model. The record is from RNAcentral.
AGCGAACGCUGGCGGCAGGCUUAGCACAUGCAAGUCGAGCGGGCCCUUCGGGGUCAGCGGCGGACGGGUGAGUAACGCGUGGGAACGUGCCUUCUGGUCUGGAAUAACCCUGGGAAACUAGGGCUAAUACCGGAUACGCCCUUUUGGGGAAAGGUUUACUGCCGGAAGAUCGGCCCGCGUCUGAUUAGCUAGUUGGUGGGGUAACGGCCUACCAAGGCGACGAUCAGUAGCUGGUCUGAGAGGAUGAUCAGCCACACUGGGACUGAGACACGGCCCAGACUCCUACGGGAGGCAGCAGUGGGGAAUAUUGGACAAUGGGCGCAAGCCUGAUCCAGCCAUGCCGCGUGAGUGAUGAAGGCCUUAGGGUUGUAAAGCUCUUUUAUCCGGGACGAUAAUGACGGUACCGGAGGAAUAAGCCCCGGCUAACUUCGUG